CGGGUCGUAGCCAAUACGUCCAGCGGCAGACGGGUGAGUAACGCGUGGGAACGUACCUUUUGGUUCGGAACAACACAGGGAAACUUGUGCUAAUACCGGAUAAGCCCUUACGGGGAAAGAUUUAUCGCCGAAAGAUCGGCCCGCGUCUGAUUAACUAGUUGGUAGGGUAACGGCCUACCAAGGCGACGAUCAGUAGCUGGUCUGAGAGGAUGAUCAGCCACAUUGGGACUGAGACACGGCCCAAACUCCUACGGGAGGCAGCAGUGGGGAAUAUUGGACAAUGGGGGCAACCCUGAUCCANCCAUGCCGCGUGAGUGAUGAAGGCCCUAGGGUUGUAAAGCUCUUUUGUGCGGGAAGAUAAUGACNGUNCCGCAAGAAUAAGCCCCGGCUAACUUCGUGCCA
This 402-nucleotide ribosomal RNA is filed under the name uncultured bacterium. RNAcentral's name for it is "bacterial SSU rRNA". It matches the Rfam family "Bacterial small subunit ribosomal RNA", at positions 67 to 510 of the family's 1533-position model. The record is from RNAcentral.